This 497-nucleotide ribosomal RNA is filed under the name uncultured bacterium. RNAcentral's name for it is "partial 16S ribosomal RNA". It matches the Rfam family "Bacterial small subunit ribosomal RNA", at positions 28 to 507 of the family's 1533-position model. The record is from RNAcentral.
GAUGAACGCUGGCGGCGUGCCUAAUACAUGCAAGUCGAGCGAACGGACGAGAAGCUUGCUUCUCUGAUGUUAGCGGCGGACGGGUGAGUAACACGUGGAUAACCUACCUAUAAGACUGGGAUAACUUCGGGAAACCGGAGCUAAUACCGGAUAAUAUUUUGAACCGCAUGGUUCAAAAGUGAAAGACGGUCUUGCUGUCACUUAUAGAUGGAUCCGCGCUGCAUUAGCUAGUUGGUAAGGUAACGGCUUACCAAGGCAACGAUGCGUAGCCGACCUGGGAGGGUGAUCGGCCACACUGGAACUGAGACACGGUCCAGACUCCUACGGGAGGCAGCAGUAGGGAAUCUUCCGCAAUGGGCGAAAGCCUGACGGAGCAACGCCGCGUGAGUGAUGAAGGUCUUCGGAUCGUAAAACUCUGUUAUUAGGGAAGAACAUAUGUGUAAGUAACUGUGCACAUCUUGACGGUACCUAAUCAGAAAGCCACGGCUAACUACGUG